UACGUAGGGAGCAAGCGUUGUCCGGAAUCAUUGUGCGUAAAGCGCGCGUAGGUGGCCCCGUAAGUCCGCUGUGAAAGUCAAAGGCUCAACCUUUGAAAGCCGGUGGAUACUGUGGGACUAGAGUACGGAAGAGGCGAGUGGAAUUCCUGGUGUAGCGGUGGAAUGCGCAGAUAUCAGGAGGAACACCAAUAGCGAAGGCAGCUCGCUGGGACGUUACUGACGCUGAGACGCGAAAGCGUGGGGAGCAAACAGG
RNAcentral lists this ribosomal RNA (253 nucleotides) under uncultured bacterium. Its description in RNAcentral is "partial 16S ribosomal RNA". It matches the Rfam family "Bacterial small subunit ribosomal RNA", at positions 524 to 776 of the family's 1533-position model. The record is from RNAcentral.